CAAAAAUCUUUGCAUAACAAAUUGCAGGUUAAUCAGUAAGUAUUAAAUCUUGAUGACAAAUUCAAGGCGCAGUAACUUUCUUGACAUUUUUUUGUCAAACUACAGAGGCUUCUGUUCCCUUUUUCAUGACUCUUUUGAUGGAGAAUGUCAGCUGCCAGCAAACAUCAGAAUGACAAUGGUAGCUCUCAUCACUUUUAUUUGUCCUGACAAAGUAGGAAAAUAAAGAAAACCUAAUGGAGAGCUGGAAACUCGUCAUAGUGUACUAGCUGGGAUUCACAUUCACAUCCUUCAUCGUGGAAAGACUUCUAAACAAAGAAGUUUCUGGCUUCAGUGUCACCAGAAUUAACAAGGAACUUAAUACAUUCUUUCUUGAUAAGCAUCAUUUCCAUAUCUUGACGUGCAUCAUUUACAUUCACUAUUUUGAGUUUCUUUAACCAUUCAU
Molecule: unclassified non-coding RNA, 442 nt
Filed under: Hevea brasiliensis (rubber tree)
Lineage: Eukaryota; Viridiplantae; Streptophyta; Magnoliopsida; Malpighiales; Euphorbiaceae
Source: RNAcentral